GGACAUCACAACGCAACAAAGCCCCAAGGACAAAACCUGCAACAAAAAUGUAAGAAGAGUUAUAAAAUUAAAUUAGGGUUUCUUCUGGUACAUAGCCUCCCCGGAGUUUGAGAGAGAACUCGCAGCCUCCGGUCUCGACCAAGCAACGAACAAAAUGCCGAAGCAGAUCCAUGAGAUCAAGGAUUUCCUUCUAAUUGCAAGAAGGAAGGAUGCCCGCAAUGUCAAAAUCAAGAGGACCAAGGAUGCUGUCAAGUUCAAGGUUCGGUGCUCCAAGUACCUUUACACACUUUGUGUGUUUGAUUCCAAGAAGGCCGACAAGUUGAAGCAAUCUCUUCCUCCAGGUCUGAACGUUCAGGACCCUUGAACAAGGAUUUUGGAGUAGCUGGUGGGCAAAUUCUAGUGAAUGCAGCAAUGGAAUGAAUCUAUUUUUGUUUGAACUUAAAAAGAUUAUUAUGGCGGGAUGAUGAUGAUAACGUUGUUGGUAUUAGAUGUUAAAAUGCCGAGAUAUUUUUGGUUAAUGUGUGUGUGUGACCUAAGUGAUUUGUUUAGAUGUUUUGGUUAUGGAUCCAUCUGGUUUGUGUUUC
Long non-coding RNA from Malus domestica (apple), 584 nucleotides. RefSeq lists it as uncharacterized. Lineage: Eukaryota; Viridiplantae; Streptophyta; Magnoliopsida; Rosales; Rosaceae. The record is from RefSeq and is a predicted model, not a curated record.